GCUGGGUGUGGUGGCUCACACCUGUAAUCCCAGCACUUUGGGAGGCUGAGGCAGGCGGAUCACGUGAGGUCAGGAGCUCUGGACCAGCCUGGCCAACAUGGUGAAACCCUGUCUCUG
RNAcentral lists this signal recognition particle RNA (117 nucleotides) under Pongo abelii (Sumatran orangutan). RNAcentral describes it as "Metazoan signal recognition particle RNA (ENSPPYG00000032702.1)". It matches the Rfam family "Metazoan signal recognition particle RNA". Rfam says of the family: The signal recognition particle (SRP) is a universally conserved ribonucleoprotein. It is involved in the co-translational targeting of proteins to membranes. Lineage: Eukaryota; Metazoa; Chordata; Mammalia; Primates; Hominidae. The record is from Rfam by way of RNAcentral.